GUAGGGAAUAUUGGGCAAUGGAUGCAAGUCUGACCCAGCCAUCCCGCGUGCCGGAAGAAGGCCCUCAGGGUUGUAAACGGCUUUUGACGGUGAAGAAUCGACAGGAUGCGUCCUGUUUUGACGGUAGCCGUUGAAUAAGCACCGGCUAACUCCGUGCCAGCAGCCGCGGUAAUACGGAGGGUGCGGGCGUUGUCCGGAUUUAUUGGGUUUAAAGGGUGCGUAGGCUGGAAGGUCAGUCAGCGGUGAAAAGCUGUCGCUUAACGAUAGUCUUGCCGCAGAUACUUCCUUUCGUGGAUGAGGAGGAGGCCACUGGAACGGAUGGUGUAGCGGUGAAAUGCAUAGAUAUCAUCCAGAACACCGAGUGCGAAGGCAGGUGGCUGUACCUUAAUCGACGCUGAUGCACGAAAGCAUGGGGAGCAAACAGGAUUAGAUACCCCUGUAGUCC
Molecule: ribosomal RNA, 445 nt
Filed under: uncultured bacterium
Lineage: Bacteria
Description: partial 16S ribosomal RNA
Rfam family: Bacterial small subunit ribosomal RNA
Source: RNAcentral